AUUGAACGCUGGCGGCAGGCCUAACACAUGCAAGUCGCACGAGUGGCGGACGGGUGAGUAAUGUCUGGGAAACUGCCUGAUGGAGGGGGAUAACUACUGGCAACGGUAGCUAAUACCGCAUACCAUCGGAUGUGCCCAGAUGGGAUUAGCUUGUUGGUGGGGUAACGGCUCACCAAGGCGACGAUCCCUAGCUGGUCUGAGAGGAUGACCAGCCACACUGGAAUGGAGAGACGGUCCAGACUCCUACGGGAGGCAGCAGUGGGGAAUAUUGCACGAUGGGCGCAAGCCUGAUGCAGCCAUGCCGCGUGUAUGAAGAGGGCCUUCGGGUUGUAAAGUACUUUCAGCGGGGAGGCGUUACCCGCAGAAGAAGCACCGGCUAAGUCCGUGCCAGCAGCCGCGGUAAUAC
Molecule: ribosomal RNA, 406 nt
Filed under: uncultured bacterium
Lineage: Bacteria
Description: partial 16S ribosomal RNA
Rfam family: Bacterial small subunit ribosomal RNA
Source: RNAcentral